RNAcentral lists this transfer RNA (69 nucleotides) under Ictidomys tridecemlineatus (thirteen-lined ground squirrel). RNAcentral's name for it is "Spermophilus tridecemlineatus (thirteen-lined ground squirrel) tRNA". It matches the Rfam family "tRNA". From Rfam's summary of the family: Transfer RNA (tRNA) molecules are approximately 80 nucleotides in length. Their secondary structure includes four short double-helical elements and three loops (D, anti-codon, and T loops). The record is from Rfam by way of RNAcentral. Lineage: Eukaryota; Metazoa; Chordata; Mammalia; Rodentia; Sciuridae.
GGGCUUGUGGCUCAGUGGUAGAGUGCUUGCCUGGCAUGUGUGAAGCCCUGAGUUCAAUCCUCAGCACCA